RNAcentral lists this transfer RNA (75 nucleotides) under Clostridium porci. RNAcentral describes it as "Clostridium sp. WCA-389-WT-23D1 tRNA-His". It matches the Rfam family "tRNA". Rfam says of the family: Transfer RNA (tRNA) molecules are approximately 80 nucleotides in length. Their secondary structure includes four short double-helical elements and three loops (D, anti-codon, and T loops). The record is from RNAcentral. Lineage: Bacteria; Bacillati; Bacillota; Clostridia; Eubacteriales; Clostridiaceae.
GUGGCCGUGGCUCAAUGGUAAAGCAGCGGAUUGUGGAUCCGCCAUUUGCGGGUUCGAGUCCCAUCGGUCACCCCA